RNAcentral lists this ribosomal RNA (269 nucleotides) under uncultured bacterium. Its description in RNAcentral is "partial 16S ribosomal RNA". It matches the Rfam family "Bacterial small subunit ribosomal RNA", at positions 88 to 354 of the family's 1533-position model. The record is from RNAcentral.
CCGGCGACCGGCGCACGGGUGAGUAACACGUAUGGAACCUGCCCUAUGCAGGGGAUAAGCGGAAGAAAUUCCGUCUAAUACCGCAUAACACCUUUAGGAGACAUCUUCUUGGGGUCAAAGGAGGCGACUCCGGCAUAGGAUGGCCAUGCGUCGCAUUAGCUAGUCGGCGGGGUAACGGCCCACCGAGGCGACGAUGCGUAGGGGUUCUGAGAGGAAGGUCCCCCACACUGGUACUGAGACACGGACCAGACUCCUACGGGAGGCAGCAG